UCUAAUGACUUAGCAGCAAGUUUCAAGGGCACUAUAAGAAAGCAAAGCUAGAGACAAAAACAAACUAACUACUUCAAGAUUGACAACUCAAUGUGAAGGAUCACUUUUAUAGAGAAAACUCUAAAAUGAUUCCCAAAGUACUUUGCCUUGUUGCCUUGAUCACUCUGGUGGUCCUCAAUUCGUCUGAAGCUGCUGUUCCAUUUAAGCCUUUGUUUAAAGGCUCUCUGCCAACAGUAAGUCUUCAUUCUCACUGUAACUCUAAUGCAAAGUUCAAUGCACAUUCAGUUGAAUUACAUACUACGACUCUACGUAGUAGAUU
This is a long non-coding RNA of Biomphalaria glabrata, 319 nucleotides long. RefSeq lists it as uncharacterized. The record is from RefSeq and is a predicted model, not a curated record. The transcript has 3 exons. Lineage: Eukaryota; Metazoa; Mollusca; Gastropoda; Planorbidae.